Octopus sinensis (East Asian common octopus) is the source of this 389-nucleotide long non-coding RNA. RefSeq lists it as uncharacterized. The transcript is spliced from 3 exons. The record is from RefSeq and is a predicted model, not a curated record. NCBI's taxonomy places the organism in Eukaryota, Metazoa, Mollusca, Cephalopoda, Octopoda, Octopodidae.
AUUUACAACAGAUGGAUGAAGUAUUGAAGGCUGAUCUCAAAAUGCUGAACCUUACAAAAGAGAUGACAGAAGACUGAGAUAUGUAGAGCAUUGCAGUACUUGAGAAGACCCACCCACCACAACAGAAUUGAGAUCCUAAAACCAAGGUGCCAUGUAAAAAGCAUUGGUGUGGGUGCUGGUAUGACAUAAAAAGCACUGGUGGUGAUGCCACAUAGAAAGCACCCAGUAUUCUCUGUGGAGUGGCUGACAUUAGGAAGGGAAUCCAACCAUAGAUACCAAGCCAAAGCAGACUAUGGAAUCUGGUGCAGGCCCUGGUCUUGCCAGUUCCUGUCAAGCCAUACAACCCAUGCUAGCAUAGAAAACAGACAUUAAAUGUUGAUGAUGAUGGU